This is a long non-coding RNA of Aethalodelphis obliquidens (Pacific white-sided dolphin), 1576 nucleotides long. RefSeq lists it as uncharacterized. The transcript has 2 exons. The record is from RefSeq and is a predicted model, not a curated record. NCBI's taxonomy places the organism in Eukaryota, Metazoa, Chordata, Mammalia, Artiodactyla, Delphinidae.
CUAUAUACCGUUUUGUUUUACCUGUGUUGAGAAUUCAUGGAGUAGAACAGUAUAAUCAAAAUCAAUUGCAUCUUCAUUUGUUUUCUAGAAGAAGAAAGAAAGAGUUAGUGCGAUAGAUAGUGUGGGUUUAUAUUAGCUUAGAAUUUGGAAGGCUCAUCUUGUAUCACCUGCCUUGAAUGGGUGGAUGGGUGCCUUGAAUCACCUGCCGCCUCUUUGAUUCUAGCCUCAUCUCCUUUGGUGGUAUCCUGCAUUAAGAUGUGGAAGUUGUUGAUUCUUACUGUUUUGCCACUGUCAUGAUAAUCUAGUAAGGUCCUUCUGUCACUUUUUCUCUCUAAUGUUUAUGGGUUUUGAUGGAAAUUAAGGUCUAUGAGAAUAGGGAGAAUCUUUUGACAAGCUAAGGAAUCUAGAUACUGUAUAUGCACCUCAAGCUGAUUUAUAGCCCUGAUAUGCCAGGCAGUAAGACAAGGGGCAGGGCAAUCAGGAUUUCUAGAAGGACACCAUGGGCCAGGUUCUCUGCUAGGCACUUUAUACAUGUUCUUAUGGAAUUCUGUCUUUUACAGGGAAGGCAACUUGAGGUUACAACUAGUAGGUGACAAGUGGGGAUUCAAACCCAGAUCUACUGACUCCACCACCCACAUCCUUCAUGCGGUACCACACUGCUUCUAAAACCAGCACAUUUUAUAGGAUUUAAUCCAAGUUGUCAGAGAACUAGAAUGCGAAUGAGCCAAGCUUCUGAAUUCGAGAAACGCCAAGGUGCAGUAUCCCACCUCCGGGUUUUUCAGAACACUUAGUCUCAGUAAUGGAUGGGACACAGAUGCAGCCAGAAAUGGAGACCACGGGUCCUCCAUGCUGACGCGGGCCUGUCACAGUCUCCGGGCAAAUGAGUGAACUGAGAGAGAGACAGUGGGGCAGGAAGCGCUGUGGUGGUCAGAUGUCAAGCUUAAUACCCCAGUGCAAGUCCAGAGAUGACUUCUGUGGUUUUGGAGAUUGGAUUUGCCGGUAAGUGCCGAGUGUCAGCUGCUGUCCACAGACCCUGCUGAGUGCCAGCGCAAAUGGGCUCUGCUUCACUUCAGCUGAGUCACUUCAGAGGCAGGGCUCAUUUCUUAUAAGAGAUGGCACCACCGCCCAUUAGCUCUGGACCUAAAAUGAGAUCAGCUUGACUCCCCUGCAGCCUCCCAGCAAGGCCCCGAGACAGCUCGCCCGGCCCUGGUGCAGAAGGCCAUGAUGCACACGACAGAGGCCCUGGAUGGGGUCCCGUCACCUAAAGUUUCCAAAGCCACCACCAGAAACCUCUAGAAUUUUUCUCCUCAGCUUCUGGACUCAACCCUGAGAACUGCACCCCUACGUGUGGGUCCUGUUGCAACGACCUCCACCUCUUCUCCCUGGAGUCCGGCUCUUGCCCUGCCCUGCGUCUGGGAUGAGAAGUGGGCAGAUUAAAGGGGCACAGAUAGUUUUCAGUGGAGUCACUAUAUUGUACUCGAGGGGGAAAACAGGAAAAGGAUACUUGUGAAUUUUGUUCAGAUAAUCAGGUGUACCACAUUCUGUAGUUGAAUUAAAUUGCCAUUUGGGGGAUACA